UUUUAUUAGUAUAAUUAGUAUAUUUGUUUUCCAAACAAGAGGUUUAAAGUGUUUAAAUAAAAUA
This 64-nucleotide transfer RNA is filed under the name Doryteuthis opalescens. Its description in RNAcentral is "tRNA-Gly". The record is from RNAcentral. Lineage: Eukaryota; Metazoa; Mollusca; Cephalopoda; Myopsida; Loliginidae.